Molecule: long non-coding RNA, 858 nt
Organism: Cryptotermes secundus
Lineage: Eukaryota; Metazoa; Arthropoda; Insecta; Blattodea; Kalotermitidae
Exons: 3
Source: RefSeq, a predicted model, not a curated record
UAGAGAUCUCAUGAAGCUCAUGAACUUUUGUAAUUGUACGAUUCGUGCGCAGUGGAAAGACGUAAAAUCGCAAUUCGUCGGAGAAGUAUAUCAACACUUAUUAAAAAUUUAAAAUGGGGAAGAUUAUGAAGGCAAACAAAGUUGUGUUGGUCUUGAGUGGCCAAUAUGCUGGAAAGAAAGCAAUUGUAAUGAGGAACUUUGAUGAUGGUAUGCCUGAUACGCAGUAUAGGCAUGUACUGCUGGCAGCUAAUGACUGAUAUCCAACAGAAGUCCAUAAAAGGAUGGGAAAUGCAAAAGUACACAGGGCUUCAAAAAUUAAGCCAUUUGUGAAGAUGAUAUGGGUGGAGAACUUCGGAAUGUAAGGACAGUGCACUUUGAGAAACACUGAAAAUUAUUUAUUUUGUAAUGCUACAUUUUUAAGGUUGACAUUGCCUUUUUUUAUUGUGACAACCCCUCUUACUGCUGUGGGCUUACAAUACUCUGAGCCAUAUUCUGGUUUAAGACUAAGCAUCAGAAAGUCACAGUGAACUACAGGGAAUUGAGAUUCACUUCUGGCCGUGUUAACAUGUGCCAUAUAUUCAUGAUGUGUAAAGGUGAUAUGUUGCAAGAAUACUGGCCAGUGAGUGUGGGUGGAAUCUUGUGAAACAGACGGGAAUGGAAGUUAAUCAGUGACUGUAGCGCAUUGGAAAGGGAAACCUGUGUUGCUAUAAUGUGUGGGGAAGGUGACACACUGGCACUGCCUCUCUGUAAACUGAAUUUUUUCCAUGAUUUUAGAUAUUAAUGUGUAUUGCAUAGUGUUUGAGAAGAGGGUGUGCUGAGGAGAAUAUUUGGACCGAAGAGGGAUGAAGUGACAGGAGG